GCCCUUAGAGUUUGAUCCUGGCUCAGGAUGAACGCUGGCGGUAUGCUUUACACAUGCAAGUCGUACGAGAGUUUUUAACUCAAGUGGCGGACGGGUGAGUAACACGUAAGAAUUUGCCUUUAGGAGGGGGAUAACAACUGGAAACGGUUGCUAAUACCCCAUAUGCUUUCGAGUAAAAUGGAUUUUCCGCCUAAAGAGAAGCUUGCGGCUGAUUAGCUUGUUGGUGAGGUAAUGGCUCACCAAGGCGACGAUCAGUAUCUGGUUUGAGAGGACGAUCAGACACACUGGAACUGAGACACGGUCCAGACUCCUACGGGAGGCAGCAGUGGGGAAUUUUCCGCAAUGGGCGAAAGCCUGACGGAGCAAUACCGCGUGAGGGACGACGGCCUAUGGGUUGUAAACCUCUUUUUUCAGGGAGGAAUCAAUGACGUGUACCUGAAGAAUAAGCAUCGGCUAACUCCGUGCCAGCAGCCGCGGUAAGACGGAGGAUGCAAGUGUUAUCCGGAAUCACUGGGCGUAAAGCGUCUGUAGGUGGUCAAAUAAGUCAACUGUUAAAUCUUGAGGCUCAACCUCAAAAUCGCAGUCGAAACUAUUCGGCUAGAGUAUAGUAGGGGUAAAGGGAAUUUCCAGUGGAGCGGUGAAAUGCGUAGAGAUUGGAAAGAACACCGAUGGCGAAGGCACUUUACUGGGCUAUUACUAACACUGAGAGACGAAAGCUAGGGUAGCAAAUGGGAUUAGAUACCCCAGUAGUCCUAGCCGUAAACAAUGGAUACUAGAUGUUGAACAGAUCGACCUGUGCAGUAUCAAAGCUAACGCGUUAAGUAUCCCGCCUGGGAAGUAUGCUCGCAAGAGUGAAACUCAAAUGAAUUGACGGGGAAGGGC
This 882-nucleotide ribosomal RNA is filed under the name uncultured bacterium. RNAcentral describes it as "bacterial SSU rRNA". It matches the Rfam family "Bacterial small subunit ribosomal RNA", at positions 1 to 924 of the family's 1533-position model. The record is from RNAcentral.